UACGUAGGGAGCAAGCGUUGUCCGGAAUCAUUGGGCGUAAAGCGCGCGUAGGUGGCUUCGUAAGUCCGUUGUGAAAGUCAAAGGCUCAACCUUUGAAAGCCGGUGGAUACUGUGGGGCUAGAGUCCGGAAGAGGCGAGUGGAAUUCCUGGUGUAGCGGUGGAAUGCGCAGAUAUCAGGAGGAACACCAAUAGCGAAGGCAGCUCGCUGGGACGGUACUGACGCUAAGGCGCGAAAGCGUGGGGAGCGAACAGG
RNAcentral lists this ribosomal RNA (253 nucleotides) under uncultured bacterium. Its description in RNAcentral is "partial 16S ribosomal RNA". It matches the Rfam family "Bacterial small subunit ribosomal RNA", at positions 524 to 776 of the family's 1533-position model. The record is from RNAcentral.